CAAUGCAGAAAGCAUGGUAACGUGCACAGAAAUUGAAUUGGGUCUCUUGGCCUGCCCUCUCUAAUGCCAUUUAGCUUUGAAUUGGGGGCAUAGUUCCACAGCAAAAGA
Molecule: small nucleolar RNA, 108 nt
Organism: Rhododendron vialii
Lineage: Eukaryota; Viridiplantae; Streptophyta; Magnoliopsida; Ericales; Ericaceae
Product: small nucleolar RNA snoR100
Exons: 1
Source: RefSeq, a predicted model, not a curated record